Molecule: ribosomal RNA, 774 nt
Filed under: uncultured Neocallimastigales
Lineage: Eukaryota; Fungi; Neocallimastigomycota; Neocallimastigomycetes; Neocallimastigales
Description: partial large subunit ribosomal RNA
Rfam family: Eukaryotic large subunit ribosomal RNA
Source: RNAcentral
CUAUACAUGACUCUGCGCAUAUCAAUAAGCGGAGGAAAAGAAACUAACAAGGAUUCCCCUAGUAACGGCGAGUGAAGCGGGAAGAGCUCAAAUUUGAAAUCUUAAAGGGUUUCCCUUUACGAAUUGUAGUUUAAAGAAGUGUUUUCUGUUGAGGUUUUGGUAAAAGUUCUUUGGAAUAGGACAUCAUAGAGGGUGAGAAUCCCGUAUUUGACCUUUACUUUCAACUUUGUGAUACACUUUCAAAGAGUCGGAUUGUUUGGGAAUGCAGUCCAAAAUGGGUGGUAAAUUUCAUCUAAAGCUAAAUAUUGGCGAGAGACCGAUAGCGAACAAGUACCGUGAGGGAAAGAUGAAAAGAACUUUGAAAAGAGAGUUAAACAGUACGUGAAAUUGUCAAAAGGGAAGCGUUUGACACCAGUGUUGUUUUUCUGAAAAUCAAUUAAAGAACUGUUUAUGCUAAGUUGUUUAGACUUUAUCAGCUAACUGUUUAGUUUUGAGCUUUUCUUUAAUGCACUUUUCAGUUAACAAGUCAACAUCAAUUUCUUUUGCUGUAAAAAAGCUUGAGGAAGGUGGCUUGAGAUUCGUCUUAAGUGUUUAUAGCCUCUUGCCUAUGCAGUCGGAGAGAUUGAGGUCUGCAGCGUAGAUCCUUCGGGGCUAAAUGCAUUUGUGCUAAGUUAUAGCAUUUCAUAGACAACUUGUUGACUAUGAUUUGUCUUGUAGCUUACUCGCUUAUGUUAUUUUACCUACGCUUAGGAUGUUGAUCUACAGAGCGAGAGU